ACGCCGCGUGUAUGAGAGGUUUUCGGAUCGUAAGCUCUGUUGUUAGAGAAGAACAAGGACGAUAGUAACUGCUCGUCCCCUGACGGUAUCUAACCAGAAAGCCACGGCUAACUACGUGCCAGCAGCCGCGGUAAUACGUAGGUGGCAAGCGUUGUCCGGAUUUAUUGGGCGUAAAGCGAGCGCAGGCGGUUUCUUAAGUCUGAUGUGAAAGCCCCCGGCUCAACCGGGGAGGGUCAUUGGAAACUGGAAGACUGGAGUGCAGAAGAGGAGAGUGGAAUUCCAUGUGUAGCGGUGAAAUGCGUAGAUAUAUGGAGGAACACCAGUGGCGAAGGCGACUCUCUGGUCUGUAACUGACGCUGAGGCUCGAAAGCGUGGGGAGCAAACAGGAUUAGAUACCCUGGUAGUCCACGCCGUAAACGAUGAGUGCUAAGUGUUGGAGGGUUCCGCCCUUCAGUGCUGCAGCUAACGCAUUAAGCACUCCGCCUGGGGAGUACGACCGCAAGGUUGAACUCAAAGGAAUUGACGGGGCCCGCACAAGCGGUGGAGCAUGUGGUUAAUUCGAAGCAACGCGAAGAACCUUACCAGGUCUUGACAUCCUUUGACCACUCUAGAGACAGAGCUUUCCCUUCGGGGACAAAGUGACAGGUGGUGCAUGGUUGUCGUCAGCUCGUGUCGUGAGAUGUUGGGUUAAGUCCCGCAACGAGCGCAACCCUUAUUGUAGUUGCCAUCAUUUAGUUGGGCACUCUAAAGAGACUGCCGGUGAAAACCGAGGAAGGGGGGAUG
Molecule: ribosomal RNA, 783 nt
Filed under: Enterococcus sp.
Lineage: Bacteria; Bacillati; Bacillota; Bacilli; Lactobacillales; Enterococcaceae
Description: bacterial SSU rRNA
Rfam family: Bacterial small subunit ribosomal RNA
Source: RNAcentral